Molecule: long non-coding RNA, 861 nt
Organism: Exaiptasia diaphana
Lineage: Eukaryota; Metazoa; Cnidaria; Anthozoa; Actiniaria; Aiptasiidae
Exons: 2
Source: RefSeq, a predicted model, not a curated record
UCAUUUCCCUUACCUUUUGUCGUAAUAGGAUCACGUCAGCCGCKUACAGUGGGAAAAUCGAAAGAGGAAAGUGCACGAUUUACAAGUAUCAACUUUCUCGUUCAAAGAAAGGAAAAACUCUUAAUGAAAAUGUAAAACAACCUACAAAAACAWUUCCACUUCGUACUGUCGAUGAAAUGCACAAAGUUACUUGUGAAUGGUCUUCGAUUUGUUCCAUAAUAUUUCCCUUUGAAUUUUGACCAAGAUGUACCAGGGAACAGGAAGGGCCCACUGCUGAUCGUAGUAAACCUUCGAUKUAACUGCAAACUCUGUAGUAAAAGAAAGCCACAUUGUAAGCGACAUGACAAAGGCAUCAAUCACGAAAUUUUGCUUGGGGAACACAAGGGGAACAUUCGACAUAGAAGGGUCGUCGAUCGUUCAGCAAAAAUCCACCAGGUUAUAGCUAGGAAAGCAAGAAAAUGAAACUUAAUGCUACGUCACUUCUACGUCACCUUAUUUCUUUACGCAGCCAGUGUGUCGUUGUGUUUCUUCCUCGAGUUCGAACAAGACAUCGACGCGUCACCUUGCGUCACAAGCGUUGUACGACGAAGCUUUGGGGAGGCCGCCGCCCUGCACAUAAUAAAUCUUUUCUGCUUACCUCACCAUUACGUCAACGACCUGUCAAUCAAUACCAUAAAUGGAAAUAUGACUCCAUACAUCGAUCGUGAUUGGCUUGACUCUUCUAACAGAUGUUAGCGAUAUGCGUCAGAUGCUUCCCGGUUUUGCGGGUAAAUUUACAGAAUAUUUUGUAAGUUAUAUUUUUCUGAAAUUUUAUUUAUGUAAUUCAUGUAAAAAUCAUUAAAACAUACAGCUUAGUAAUCC